Molecule: long non-coding RNA, 2063 nt
Filed under: Salmo salar (Atlantic salmon)
Lineage: Eukaryota; Metazoa; Chordata; Actinopteri; Salmoniformes; Salmonidae
Description: lncRNA (ENSSSAG00000092756.1)
Source: RNAcentral
CUCAAGUGAUUGGCCAGGUGAAAGGAAAGAUUCCACUUUAUAGCUUUCAUACAUCCAGACCAGUGGACCAUUCAAGAAGGAGUGGAAGGUAGGGAUGAAAUAAGGAAGGAAGGAUGGAGGGAAGGAAGGAUACAUUUAUCUGUUGGAACAUGGUCACAGUCUCGGGGCGUACGAGCGACAGUGGGCGCGCGCACAAAUACACACAUCCCAGACAACACGGACUAAACUUUCCUCCCCUUCUCGUCAGUCUGUGCGUGCCUCGCCAAGUCGUGAGAGCGCAAGAAGAACUCCCCGCUCUCUAGCACGCGUUUUAAUUCCGCUACCAAGGUGCAUCAUGGGAAACAAGAUCAGCAGGAGACGGGACACCGCACCAGCUGAGCAGGAGGCUGCAGAGGAGGCAAUCGACACGCAGGAAGCUGUGGUGGAGGCAGUACCUGAUGAGCCAGUGGUGGUUGCAGAGGCGACUGAACCAGUAGUAGAAUCAGUGCCAGCACCGGUACAGGAGGCUGAGCCAGAGCCCCCCAAGCAGCCAGAGACGGAGCCCCCAUUGGAGAAGCCGGUGAGCGCCCCACUGGUAGACCUUGCACCAGCGCCGACCCCAGCACCGCCUGAACCCGAGCCCCUGGUGUCAGUCAGCAAACCGGUGUCAGUCAGCAAACCGCCAGUCGUGCCAGUCGGCCCAGAGCCAGUCGUGCCAGUCGGCCCAGAGCCAGUCGUGCCAGUCGGCCCAGAGCCAGUCGUGCCAGUCGGCCCAGAGCCAGUCGUGCCAGUCGUCCCAGAGCCAAAGCCAGUCGUCCCAGAGCCAAAGCCAGUCGUCCCAGAGCCAAAGCCAGUCGUCAUAGAACAUGAGGCUAUCCCAGAGCCCUUCCUCUGCCCCGCCCAUCUUCUGGACCUGGGUGUCCCUGAGCUGACCCCUGAGCCCCUCGAUGCUCCCCCCUCUCACAGAUCUGCCCCAGACCAGCCCACAGACCUGGGGGAUGCAGAAUGCUAUGACGACAACGUAAAGGCUGCCUGGAAUUCUGUCUCCGUCCCGGAAGAGUCCAAAGAAUCCCCGGAGAAGCCAGCGACCAUGGCAGAGCAGCUUCUGUGUGAUGUCAGGGGCAGUGAGCUGAGCAAAGCAGACUCUUCAAGCACUUAGACCUGACGGCCGACGACAUCAUGGUCAAUGACGUCAAUACAGACGACAUUCCGGAAGGUGACAUGUCCACUGAGCUGAUAUGAGAUGGGCGGAGAAAAUGUAUUUAAAAAAAAUAAAUAAAAAAAAUAAACAGAACAAUGACGUUCUGAAAAAGGCAGACGCAGCAGAAAAAAAAUGCAUUAAAAAAAUAAUACAACUUUGAUCUGAGAAGGCUAAAGGGAAAACUAAGCAGCUUAAGGAGACUGUGAAGUAGCACUCAGAUAAUCUGAGACCUGGGAUAUAUUCACUAGUAACCAAACAGAACCAAGCGUACGCAAACGGAAUGAAACUGGGUGGGACUUACCUGAAAUUGUCCAAUAGAUAUUCUAGUUUCCGUUGCCGAACCAUUUUGGAAUAAUGAUUAGACCCCAGGUAAUACAGACGUGCCUUUUCUUUCUGAGUGUAUGUUGACUAAAGGGAUGUGGUGAUGGGUGGCCAGGGCAGGAGAGUGAGUACCAAUCAUCGCCCUCUGAGCCAUAUAGACAUAACACUGCAUAGCAGAACACUUACAGUAACUAUAUAUGGUAACUAUGUAUGACAAUACGUUUGCCUUGGUGUGUACACCUGAUGAAUUGUAACAACAUUUGAAAUCGGCCUACAUGCUAUGAUGUACAUUCAUGCUUGGACUCUCACAAUCCUUCCUCUUUAACUCUGAAACGGAAGUGACCUUAUAUUUUCUUGAUGGUGAGAAGUGGUUUGGAGGAAUGUAUUAAAGGUGAUGGUCUGGUUGUGAAAAUAAAAUAUUGUUCCACCUUGAAGAUGAUUCUUUGUUUUCAAUCUUUAAAGAGACUGAGGGCUGCAAGUGCAAUGUUUCCAAGACUGACAUUUUAUAUUAAGGCUGUUUUCAGAGGUUUAUGUGCUGCCACUAAUGCUGCAGAGAUAUGGC